AUAAGGUCAAAGGUGACAAAGAUGGCGGCGGCCUGAGAGUUAGUGUUGUGAGACAUCAACAGAUUUUGGAACUAGUCAGAGAUGGUGACUUAGAAGUUGGGAAUACCAUUCAUAUUUGGUGUAUCCGCUUCUGCAUGAUGUCCUUGUUAUCAGAUGACCUGAAUAGCUUUGCGCAAGGCUGGAAUGACAGAAGGAAGCUGCCUGGUCACGGUGCACCUGCUGGCCGUCCAAAUGCGCUUUAUUUCCUGCCACACCUUUCAGGGGGCCAAAACCUACUACAAGACGUGGAUGCGAGGAUGCUCCACCAUGCACAGCGAGAGUGCACAUCACCCUCACUUGUUGGGAAUGACAGAUUUCAUCGCUACUUAUGUGAUAUGUUGCAAAGGUUAAAUAAGAGGUAUCCCACAAAUUGCGAUGAUGCAUUAACACUGUACCGAGAGCUGGUGGCAAUUGCAAAUUAAUAUACAUCAAACCUGUACACAGAACACCUAGUUUAUGUGUCCACUUAAUUGGUGGUCCUUUGGUGAUUUAUUUAUUGUAACAGAUGUAGAGGAACUGAUCUUCUCACACACUUAACUUGUAAUAUUAUGUCAUCAAAUGUAAGACUUAACCAGCAACAAGAACUCUUAACCAGCAACAAGAACUCUACAACUUGUAAUGUAAAUUGAUAGAAUAUUCGGCUUACCUGCAACAAG
Molecule: long non-coding RNA, 695 nt
Organism: Branchiostoma belcheri (Belcher's lancelet)
Lineage: Eukaryota; Metazoa; Chordata; Leptocardii; Amphioxiformes; Branchiostomatidae
Exons: 4
Source: RefSeq, a predicted model, not a curated record